This 336-nucleotide ribosomal RNA is filed under the name uncultured bacterium. Its description in RNAcentral is "bacterial SSU rRNA". It matches the Rfam family "Bacterial small subunit ribosomal RNA", at positions 28 to 354 of the family's 1533-position model. The record is from RNAcentral.
GAUGAACGCUGGCGGCGUGCCUAAUACAUGCAAGUCGAACGGUAAGGCUUCCACUCUGUGUUUAAUGAUUUGAACAUAGUGUGGAAGUACACGAGUGGCGGACGGCUGAGUAACGCGUAGGAAUGUACCCCAAAGUGAGGGAUAAGCACCGGAAACGGUGUCUAAUACCGCAUGUGCUCUAAGGAGUAAAGCUUCGGCGCUUUGGGAACGGCCUGCGUAUGAUUAGCUUGUUGGUGAGGUAAUGGCUCACCAAGGCGACGAUCAUUGGCUGGUCUGAGAGGAUGAUCAGCCAGACUGGGACUGAGACACGGCCCAGACUCCUACGGGAGGCAGCAG